Danio rerio (zebrafish) is the source of this 67-nucleotide unclassified non-coding RNA. Ensembl annotates it as dre-mir-735. Its record names the gene dre-mir-735. The record is from Ensembl. NCBI's taxonomy places the organism in Eukaryota, Metazoa, Chordata, Actinopteri, Cypriniformes, Danionidae.
GGCUGGUCCGAAGGCGGUGGGUUAGUCUUCUCUCCCCUCUCCCACCGCUAAACUUGACCAGUCUUUA